GAAGAAUUAAUUUAUAUAAAAUAUUAAUUUGUCAAAUUAAAUAAAUCGCUUAGAUAUUCUUUU
Molecule: transfer RNA, 63 nt
Filed under: Ujna puerana
Lineage: Eukaryota; Metazoa; Arthropoda; Insecta; Hemiptera; Cicadellidae
Description: tRNA-Asp
Source: RNAcentral